This 144-nucleotide unclassified non-coding RNA is filed under the name uncultured Chaetosphaeriaceae. RNAcentral's name for it is "sequence contains ITS2". The record is from RNAcentral. RNAcentral also lists the same sequence under 1 other name. Lineage: Eukaryota; Fungi; Ascomycota; Sordariomycetes; Chaetosphaeriales; Chaetosphaeriaceae.
CAACCCUCAGGCCACGCCUGGCGUUGGGGCCCUGCGCUGCAGGCCCCGAAAGACAGCGGCGGGUGCGUCCCACGACCGAACGCAGUAGUUACUUCUCGUUCCGGGCGCGGGCGCAUGCCGGCCGUAAAACCCCCAAUUUUACAA